CGCCCCUCUUGCGCUGGAGCUGCCGCAGCGCCCCUGCCGGCGGAGCUGGCGCAGACCGAGGGACCCACCGCGCAGUGCUCAGAACCUGGGCUUUGGUUUUGACUGUUUACCCUUGAGCUGAAAUGCGGCAGUCAAGCUCCAUGUCUAUUGGUAGCGAGUGAUUCCUUGUUAAAGACAGGAGAAAGGAUUUCUCUAUGAUAAAUACAGGACUUACUGAAAAUUGAACUAGUCAAAGCCGGGUGUGGCAGUGCGCACCUGCAAUCCCACCACUCCAGGAGGCUGAGGCAGGAGGACCACAAGCGUGAAGCCCGGCUUUCAUUGGGAAACUUCGCGACUUACUGAGACCCGCUCUCGGAUUUCUUUAAAAAGGCAAAAGGGUGGGGGAUGUAGCUCAGUGCAAAGGGUCUGGGUUCAAACCCGCUACCAAAGCAAGAGACUUCAUCUUCCCAGGAAGAGGGAGACAAACUUCAUCUUGCAUCUCUGCCAAGUGUUAGGUCAUCUCGGUGCUCAGCGAGGCUGUGGCGCCGGAGUCGGGUUGCUGGGUCUCCCUGGAGAAUCUUCCGGGCCCGGGUCGGCGCAGGCUAACUGGGAAGCCAGCCCCGCGGCCCCGAGGCCACCACCACCCUGCUGUGGACACGGGACUGUUCAGCUCAGCGGAGUGGGAUCUCGCAGGAGCAUUCGGGAGCCAUGGGCGGGCUAACUGGAAGUACAGUGGACCCUUGACUUAGGGACGUGAUCAGUUCCGGAGGGCUGGUUGUAACUCAAGUUGGUGAACCUGGUGAGGAGAACAUGCAGGAGGCACCACCAAGUGGCAGAGGCAGGCGGCUUGCAAGACACACGGCUUUCAUCCUGAGAACAACGGAACUACUGAAGGAACUUAGCGAAGAAGGGAUGGGCAGGGGUGACAGUGGGACUUAUCCAUGUGGCUUUUGGCUUAGAGACGCAGGACAGGUGGCAGCUCUGUCCUGAAAUGGGAGCAGGAGACGCAGACUAAGCUGCAAUUGGGAGUAGGCACUGAGGGGAGGGCCGAGGCUCAGGGGUUUGGAUUCAACUCCUCAGUGUAAAGUUGACAACCGGUGAGGUUGUACAGGAGACAGGGACACAGAGGAGCUCAGACUGUGAAAGGACAGGCAGAGAAAAGCCCUGGCCCGCCCCCAAAAUGGUCAGAGAGGUAGCUGGAAAAUCAGAAAUAGACGACAUAUUAAAACUUGUAGCAGGCUGGGGAUGUAGCCUGGUGGUAAAGCAUGCAUGAAGCCCUGGAUUACACACACACACACACACACACACACACACACAUAACUUGCUCACUGCUCCCACACAUGCUCAUUGCUUGGGUCCUGUUAUUAGAAAUAAGUUUACUUAUGACAAAAUGUGACUUGUUUAUAUAUGAAACAAGCAGCGAUUCCUCAUUUGGAUCACAGGGCUGUGAGGUUCAAAUAAAAAAAUUG
RNAcentral lists this long non-coding RNA (1448 nucleotides) under Heterocephalus glaber (naked mole-rat). RNAcentral describes it as "lncRNA (ENSHGLG00000032346.1)". The record is from RNAcentral. Lineage: Eukaryota; Metazoa; Chordata; Mammalia; Rodentia; Bathyergidae.